This 3387-nucleotide long non-coding RNA is filed under the name Nicotiana tabacum (common tobacco). Its description in RNAcentral is "long non-coding RNA (NTAB_LNC001528)". Lineage: Eukaryota; Viridiplantae; Streptophyta; Magnoliopsida; Solanales; Solanaceae. The record is from RNAcentral.
CCUAAUAUGCAGAAUAGGGCGGGAGUGCGAGACUUGAGGUGCCGCCCAAAUUUUCUUCUAAAAUUUUAAUAUUUUUAUAAAUAUAAAGAGACAGAAACCUAGAAAAAGAAAUAAAGAAAUAGAAACACUUAAAAACAUUCCCCAAGUCAUCAUUUAGGAACUAGGGUUUACUUCCCGUCUCUCAACAUUUCUCUUAAAAUUCCCAAACCCUCAUCACUUUGACAACCAGUUCUGGUAUUUCAUCUAAAUCUGUUCUUGAUUUUAUUGUUCAAAGUGACGAUUUCCAUCAUCAAUCUGUUCAAGACUAUUUUACAGAUUAUUCAAUUUUGCUAAGUUAUUUUGGGUAUUCUUUUCCAUCACCAAAUGAAGUCGGAUAUGUGCGAUUGAGUUGGCAUACUGUGAUUCAACAAGUUAUUUUUAUGGCGAGGUCGUAUCUCUAAGCCGUUUUGUAAAGAAGAGCUCACAUGUUAUUCAUUUCAGCUUCCGCAGUGAAAUGGGAAGGAGUUGUUUCAUUGUGGUCCGAGGUGCUUCCAAGAGUAUUAACUUGAAAUUCGUAAGUUUUACUUCCCAUAAUUCUAUUCUCUGUAUCUGCUUCAGCUAUGCUUGUAUAUGUGUGUGUUGACAAUUUUAUUUCUUGAAUGCAAGAUUUGAUUAUCUUUACAACUUUCUUAAGAGAUGAAGUGUUCCAAUCAUCGGUUAGAGUUCCUUUCUUCCGCUCACUAUUUUAGACUUGCUGGAUUUUGUUGUUAAUGCUUGUGGGUUUUGAUUCAUUUCAUUUAUGGGCGCAAUGACUGAUUUUUGGUAUGUAUUUUCAUUGUUGCUCUUCAUUUUGUUGAUGGAUACAUGUUAUCCACGUUUUUCCUAAAAUUUGGUGUUUAUUUUAUAGUGCGCUUCUUAAUAUUAUUAUACCCAUGUCAAAUAUUGCUACUAAACACUCCUUUACGUACUAAAAGGAAGCUUUAAUUAACAUGAUUAUUGUACUUUGUUACGAAUUGAUAUUAGGUGAGGUGCUAAACUAAGCUUGCUAGUCUAUGGUGAUUAUCAGGUUCAUGUAGCUUCUUUUAAAUAUGAGUGAUAAUUAUGUUUGCUAAAAGAAAUUAAACUUGUGAACUUAUUAGACAAUGGCUAUUUCAAGUGGUGGAAAAACUGUUUGCUGCUAGUGCUCUAGUAGAUGGAUUGAAGUUAUAGAAAAAGUAAAGAUUCAUCCGCGCAAAGCCUUUGUGAAAAUGAUAGAUUGAAAUUGGUAAUUUUAAAAAUGUUGUUGUAUGGUUUCAAGACAUAUUUUAAAGAAAAUAUUGAAAUUUUAGGAAAAUGUGGUAUUAAAGUUGAACACCUUGAAAGAGAUGUGUUUCUGGUUUCUCCACAAGGAGGUUACUUGAAUAAGUGAAUCAGUGUUGUACUUGUAGUUCUAUAAGAUUUUAUGAAGAUAUUUGAUCUUGGUGCAAUGGUUGUUAAGGUUAUCUAUUGAUAAAGGUGGCGGUUCAUUUGUGAGGGAUGUUUCACUCUUGAAAUGAUAGACUUUCUUCUUACAAUCUGGAUCAAUUUUUAAUUUUUCCUUGUUCUCUUUAUCCACUUUUAUUGAUUUCAUUGCUGGCUCUCAGUUUGUUUUUGCUACUCAUGUAGGUACAAUUUACUUUUGGACUGAAACUCAACCUUACACUCUAUAUCAUGUCAUAACCAUUUAGUUGAAACUUUAGUCUUCUAUUCUCUGCAUCUCCGUGUCAUACGUCACUCUGAAGUUCGCAUGUAUCUUCAUGAUAUAAUCUUAUAACAAUUUGGGAUACAUUUCUUAGGUUCUCAAAUAUGGUUUUAUUUUUGUUGUAACACUGCAACGUUUCAUGUAGUACAUCUCAAACACUCAUCUGGUUAUGUACUCUUUUUACUUUUAUGAACAAUUUAUACCCUUUGAUAUGGGAGUAUCAACCAAUAGAGUAUUAUCGACAAGGUGUGCAUACCCAAAGCCAUUUUCUCUUUAUCUCUCACUUUUGUGUUUAGCAGCAAAAUCAAAGCUCACUGUGUGAAAGCCGUAUGCGGAAAAAGGUACAAGAAAUUUUGCGUUUUAAAAUUCAAUUAUAUGGAAGAUAAAUUCCUUUUCUUGAUUCUCUUCCCUUCUCUUUCCAGGAGUAAGUUGAGUAGCUGAAAACAAUGCCAUUUGAAGUUAGCACAACUUGAGCUGAAACUUGAGAGAGUUAGAUAGCAGGUCCAGAAAUUUCUUUCACAAAUUCUUGUAAAUAUUAUGUUUCUUUUACUUGUAAAAAAAAUAUCUAUGUGUGCGCGCAUUGAUCAUUAAGGAAGUGCUAAUUAUUUUCUCACAAGUUAAUGGCUAAUUUCAAGGACAACAAGUUUUAGGUUCAAGUAUAGGAUAAUUGUCAAUAGUUUAUUUUUUAUUUUUGCAUCAGCAGAUUUACCCUGAUCUGUGUUGAGUGAUCUGGAAAUUUGCUACAUUGAACUGAUAGGAACAUGAAUCCCUCAUAGUUUCUUGUUUAUAGCAGAACCCAAAAUAUGAUUAUGAUAAUGGGAAAAGUUAUAAGGCACUGAUUUUGAUUUUUUUUCUUAAAUAUUUCUGUGCCAGAUAUUCUCUAAAGGAAGAUGUACUUUAAAAGUACAAUUUGUUUGUUAGUAGUUUAUAUAACAUAAUGUUAUUCGAUCUUAUAAUUUGCAUCCUAUCUUUAAAUGUAUUAAAUAAUGAGGGCUGAUUCUCAUUAACGCUAUAUUAUGGACUUUGGAUGAUUCUGAUUAAUGCUAAUGUUGAACUUAAUCUUUGUUUCUUAGGUCGCGUGACACUUACAACUUGGGGUGUAAUAUGGUAAAUAAUUAUCUGAUUGUCUCCCUCUAAGCCUAUGGAACCAAUUUUUAUAUAAUAAGAUGUAGUGCUCCUAGUCAUUGAUGAAACAAAUGCACUUUUUGAGUCUCUUACAGUGUUUUAGUUGCAGACAUGGCUAUUUUGUGUUUUAUUUCAUAAUGCAAGUUUCUUAUAUGACCAAAAUAUUGUUAUAUUGUAAUUAGUUUGUGAAAUAAUGUAGGUCUCACAAUUAGUUACCCAAUCUUUCUGGUUGAUUAUUAUAGUUUUUCUGAAGUGAAUUCAUUUCAUACUUCUCAUAGGGGUCUUGAAAACUUCAGUUUACAAGUGAAGAUGUAGAUUUUGGAGAAUUCAAGUUGACAAGCUAAUUAUCAGUUGCCGAGAACUAUAGACAACAAUUCAUUUUAUUUGCAAAUGAUGUUAAUUUGUUUUCUUCCCAAGGGGUGCGUAAAUGAUACAGUACAAAUGGAAUGAAUCCUUUCUUUUGUUAUUUUACAAAUAUAUAUAUGAGCACAUUGUUGAUAAGUUUGACUACAUGCAUUCAUUAUAUACAUUAUGAAUGGAAUAUUAUUUCGGAAAAGCACGAC